Molecule: ribosomal RNA, 465 nt
Filed under: Vreelandella stevensii
Lineage: Bacteria; Pseudomonadati; Pseudomonadota; Gammaproteobacteria; Oceanospirillales; Halomonadaceae
Description: partial 16S ribosomal RNA
Rfam family: Bacterial small subunit ribosomal RNA
Source: RNAcentral
CCUACGGGCGGCAGCAGUGGGGAAUAUUGGACAAUGGGGGGAACCCUGAUCCAGCCAUGCCGCGUGUGUGAAGAAGGCCCUCGGGUUGUAAAGCACUUUCAGUGAGGAAGAACGCCUGGUGGUUAAUACCCAUCAGGAAAGACAUCACUCACAGAAGAAGCACCGGCUAACUCCGUGCCAGCAGCCGCGGGAAUACGGAGGGUGCGAGCGUUAAUCGGAAUUACUGGGCGUAAAGCGCGCGUAGGUGGCUUGAUAAGCCGGUUGUGAAAGCCCCGGGCUCAACCUGGGAACGGCAUCCGGAACUGUCAAGCUAGAGUGCAGGAGAGGAAGGUAGAAUUCCCGGUGUAGCGGUGAAAUGCGUAGAGAUCGGGAGGAAUACCAGUGGCGAAGGCGGCCUUCUGGACUGACACUGACACUGAGGUGCGAAAGCGUGGGUAGCAAACAGGAUUAGAUACCCGUGUAGUC